Epinephelus lanceolatus (giant grouper) is the source of this 922-nucleotide non-coding RNA. Lineage: Eukaryota; Metazoa; Chordata; Actinopteri; Perciformes; Serranidae. The record is from RefSeq and is a predicted model, not a curated record.
ACACAAAAACCCUGCUGUUCUUGGGGACCAGAGCCAGGCUAGUAGGUCUAAACUUGAGAAUUCUUCAAGCUCAACUGCAGAUACUAUAAUCAUCGAGCAUGAUUCAAUACCAGAUUAUGGAGAACCAAUUCUCAGACCGCCUGAAUCAACAGAAGACAGAUCAUGAAAGCCAUGCGGGGCAUGCAAGGCAGAGGUGGCAAAAUUAAUGGAGGAGAAGGACAAACUGCAGGAUGUGCUGUGUGUUAUCAGUGGUGACCACAUCAAGGCGUUAAAAAGCUUUCUGGACAAAGUGGAACAGAUCCAACCUCAGACUGGUGUUUGGGCUCUAAAAAAAACAGAUGUGGGAAGCAAGAGCUGUAUCCAGAAAGUGGCCUCUUCCUCACCUCUACCCGCCUGGCUGCAAUCCGUGCGGAAGCAAGGAAGGACUGCCUUUGCUUAUUCCAUCUUCUUUUCGGUGAAUUCUUUAAUGCAGAGGAGUGCCAAAAUGCUGUGGCAUUUGGGAAACACGGAAAGGUGCCAGAUGGAAAGACGGUGCUGGAUAAGACCAAAGUCGUUGGGAUUCUAACUUACAUCAUGCGCUGUAGUACACUGGAUGGAUGGACACCAGUUGAGAAAAGUAAGAUCAAAAAAGCUUUCAUAAACAAAUGCCGCAUGAGGGGCACAAACACUGUGUAAAUUCUUGAAUGUGGUAUACUGGAGUGAUGGACAUUUGUUGAGGUGACCCUGUUCAAGAAAGCCCUGUAUACAAAUGCUGCAUGAGGGCCUUAAAGACUGCAAGCUGUUGAAUGUUGUGCAUUGUUGUAAAGCUGUGCUAAUACUGCUCAAAACACUGUUAGAGACACUGUUAUUCUAUUUUUAAAAACAUAGCUUUACUGAGAAGAGGCACAUUUAUGUUCAGAUUUUAUAAUGAUGACAAUGUUGG